UNGGGUGUGGCUCAGUGGUAGAGCAUUUGCCUAGCAUGGGGAAGGCCCUGGGUUCCACCCCCAGCAUUUCAC
RNAcentral lists this transfer RNA (72 nucleotides) under Neotoma lepida (desert woodrat). It matches the Rfam family "tRNA". From Rfam's summary of the family: Transfer RNA (tRNA) molecules are approximately 80 nucleotides in length. Their secondary structure includes four short double-helical elements and three loops (D, anti-codon, and T loops). Lineage: Eukaryota; Metazoa; Chordata; Mammalia; Rodentia; Cricetidae. The record is from Rfam by way of RNAcentral.